Molecule: long non-coding RNA, 13187 nt
Filed under: Cricetulus griseus (Chinese hamster)
Lineage: Eukaryota; Metazoa; Chordata; Mammalia; Rodentia; Cricetidae
Description: lncRNA (ENSCGRG00015029470.1)
Source: RNAcentral
AGACAAACUACAAAUAAAGGAGUUCAGCUUGACUGGGGUCAGGAGAUAAAGCUAGAGAGAACCAGAACCAGAGGGUGCAAUAACAGAGGUCAGCAUGGCUGGGACAUGUAGGAGCACUUGGAACUGAGCAAAGAAACCAUGUAUGAAAAUGUGACAGGGUGCGACAACAGAAGUCAGCACAGCUGUGGUGUAGGAGCACUCGGAACUCAAUCCCUUGCCCUACCACAGCAGAUCUUUUUGGUCUAACAUGCACCAGCAGUAACCUAGGAGGACGGACCAGCCAGGUGGCCCUCUGCUCAGUUGAAAAGCUGCUGAACAGACUUCAGAAGAAGUGUAAACGGCCAACAGAUGUAUGCAAAGACAUUCAGCAUCUUCAGCCUCAAGAGAAGUGCCAAGAACAAGCUUCGUGUAGAGGAAUGAUCACACCUACUGAUGAGGAAACAGGCUGAGGACAUUCUGUUGCCAAGGGACCGUGUGGCUUCUUACCACACAAGCAUUACUGUGGUUUGCUCUGUUUCGCCACGCUUGUAAGUCUCAAAGUUAUUGCUUCUAACGGUAAAUGUGUCCUCUGGAACUCAUGUCUCCUCCUUUUUCUCUUUUGGUCUUAAGUUAUAUCGGGAACCAGACUGUUCUUUUGGGGGGGGGGCGUAUUUUCAGCUUCAGAGUUUCUUUUUUUCCUCUCUAGACUUAGUUCAGUUUUUCAAACAUGUAAACAUUCAUAAUUUUCAAAAGUUAAAAAAAUUACGUUGGGAAGAUACCUACAGGGAGGCCUCAUGCUGUUGUCCCUCAACAGACUGUCCCUGGGCCCACACAGCCAUGCUGUGUUUUCCUAGUGUCUUUGCUUCACUUUUUUAUGGCAUCAAAGGCACCCCUGUGCCGUUGGCCAGUUGUUGGUUUCCUGCAUGUCCUGACAGUCCCUUUUGGCAGGCAUCCUUAGCCUCUCCUGCUUUUCACUUGGGUGGAUGGAGCUAGGCUCAGGCCUCCCACAGCCUCUGACAGACAGUCUGCCUAUGGCAAGCAGCUUCCCAAGAAGAAUCCUUGUGCGUGUUGAGUGGUGUCUGUGGAUUGAAAUUUGUGGGUAAAGUUUAAUUCGGGAUUGCAGGGUUCAGGAACAAAGCUAUAUCUAACUCACAAAAGGCUGUCAAAUUCUGCCCUCCAGCCGGAGGGGCUAUCAGUACCCACCAGCGAAGUCUGAGAAUGGCAGUUCUCCAGAGGGGUUAAACUUUGGAUUUCUGGAAACUUUACAGAUGGAAGCCCUGGAGGGUCUUUUUUUAUACGUGUGCAAGAGCAUGCAGGGGUGUGGAGAGGGAGGCCAGCCCUAGAUUCCAUUCUCAGGAACACCACCCACAUUAGAGACAAGGUCUCUUUAUGGCCUGGAGCCCACCACCAGGUAAGGCUCCCUGGAACCCACCACCUAGGUAAGGCUCCCUGGAGCCCACCACCUAGGUAAGGCUCUCUGGAGCCCACCACCUAAGUAAGGCUCUCUGGAGCCCACCGCCUAGGUAAGGCUCUCUGGGCUCCAUCACCUAGGUAAGCCUCUCUGGCCAGCUACUGCAGAGCACCCUACUCCAAGCUCUGGGAUAAUCAGCAUGUACCACAAUACUCAGUGUUUUCGCGUGGCUUCUGGGUUCAAACUCAGGUCCUAGUGUUUGCAAGGCAAGUGAUUUCCUGAUUGAGCUGUCUCCACAGCCCCUGGAGAGUCUUGUUUGGGGGAUGAGCUAGGAGCUGGCCAUGUAGAUCUUUUAAAAAUCUCUACUGGUGUCUUUCACGCCUAACUGGGGUUGAGCAUCUUUGAGUCAAGUGUGCCAGGUUCCUUUGCUGUUUCAAUAAGGGUGCCAACAUUGGAUGUCAUUAACAGUCUGGCAGGUUGAUUGAUUUGUUGGCUGCUUGGGAAAUGGGGGAGUAUAUUUCAUUUUGUUUUGAUUUUUAAGACAUGAUCUAUACAGCCCAGCUGGGCUGGGACUUACAAUGUCGUUUAGGUAAGCCUGGAACUCCUGAACCUCCUGCCUCUACUUCCCAAGGGCAACUCUGGCCAUGUGUCACUACAGCCAGCUACAAAGUAGUUUUCUUUCUUCUAAUUUGUCAUCAGUCUUUUCUUUCAACUCUUUUCUCCUGUUACAUGUGCUCCCUGCCUCCUAGCCUCAGCCUGCCCCUACCCUUGCCCCAGGAAGAGCCACUUUCCUGAGAUGUCAGAGCCUUGACUUACGUGGCUUUGGGAGGCAGUUGGAAGCACAUGCUGGUUUGGAGGCUGAGCGAAUACUAGAGUUUGCCUAAGAUGAAGACCUGUGUGCAGCAUGGGACGGGCCAUGUGCCACACUCUAGCCCUUGUCGUCUAGAACCAAAUCUUGCCAGCUUCUGCCUCGCUGUGCCCCACCACCUGCAUUGCCCACAGUUGUUAUGGGAAGGUGAGUGGGGUUUGGAAAUUGCUCUUCCUGGUGUGGAAGGUUGUUUGGUGAAGAGCCCUCAUCAGACCCUCCCCUGGAGAAGGUUCUGAACUUCAGUUUCCAGCAUCUCCCUGGUUCAUUCUUUGCAGCUGCCCCUCCUACCAGCAGCUAAAAUUCACAAACCAGAAAAGAGCUGUCUUCAAGGGUUAGUAGCAGCCAACAGUCUUCCCACAACCCCUCAAGAGCAGAGGAGAGUGCUGGCCAGUCCUGGCAUUGGGGAAAUCGGUCAUCACUGGUACAAGAUGAGUAGUAUCCACCCAGCUGUUUACCAAGAAAGCUCCAAGCCACCCCACCCUCAUUCCUUAGAUUGCUUAGUGAGUUUUCCAUUGACCUCCAGGCCUCCCCUUAAGACACAGCUUGGGAGAACACACUGCUCACUUCUUUGUGGUCGAUUAUAUCAGGCCCUGCCCCAGAAAGGGUGCAGAACUUAGGGUGCAUCCCCAAGGACAUCCCUGGGGUGCCUAUUACUUAGUUCAGCCCAGGCGGUGCCCAUCGUGACUGAGAGUUGGGAUGAAGGGCCCUCAGUGGCAUACCAUAAUGCAGUCUGUCUCUCAGAUGCCUGCAUUGGGAUGUGUGUGGUAAAGGUAUUCGGGCACCAGAAGCACGGCUGGGUGUGUUUGGUGGAAUAGUGGCACAUUCCACCCUGUGGAGGGGGAGCCAGUUCGCUGUCAUCCUCCUUUGGGGGCCAGGUUACAUGUGAAUCUUCAUUCACGGUUUUGAGCUCCCAUAAAGCUGCUUGUGCGUACAGUGGUAGUCUUUCCCCCGGGCCUCCUUGUCUGCCUUCCAUAGAGAUGAGUUUCAUUCUCUGUAACGUGGUCCCAGGAGAGAGGAUUAUGCCUACUGAGACAAUGGUAGCCUUCUGCUGGCCACCAUGAAAAAUGUGACCUCCACUACUUAUGACUUGUGAGUGUGGUGUUCCCUGGUGCUCUUCUUGGGGAUCUCCAUGCUGUGGAAUAAUCCCUGUGUACACUGUGAAAACUUGCUUACAUCUCUGUGCUCCUUGAGUCAGAGUUCAGCUUCUCCUAGCUCCUUGUCUUACCACUUGCCUGCAGGCCUGCAAGGUUUCCGAAAGACUUGACUCUGUGAAACUGUGUCUCCACAAUGUAAAACUCAAGCUCUGGAGCAGACUGGAAAGCUGGCAUUCCAAAGCCCUUUCCUGGAAGUAUUCUCAUCUCUCUCCAGAUAUUCCAGGAGCCUGAGGGAGUAAGCUAGAUGGAGCAGGUGCUCAGACAUCCCUCGUGUAUUACCAUGAAAAGGUGAGUCUGGGCCUGAGUCCCAAGACCACGUGGGCCUGGAAGCUGGGAAUAGUUUGAGGCCUCCCAGCUUUGGCUCAGCAGCUCUGGGCUGGCCUUGCUCACAAUGUUGUCUCAGGCUGGUGGCAUAAUGACAGGGCCUUGUUCCUCUCUGCCAUUGGAGGGAAGACAAACAAAAUGACAGACUUGGGCCAGUAGGUAAUGUCAUCUCUAUUGAAACUGAGACUCUCUGGUCCCAUCUGCAGUGUGAACUGCUUCUUGCUCAGGGUCAGUGGGCAUCUUUGGAUUAGGUUCCGUGGAGCAGUGGGAAUUAGGAAGGUAUCUUUGAUCCAGGUCAUUGGCCUGAGCUGUAACACCCUUUCCAGGUGGGAGGUGAGAAGCAAGGUAAGCAAAUGAGCUAGGUACAGGGAGACUGGCUAGAAGGGGUGGCCCACAGCCGGUGAUGAUGUGUGAAGAUCCUGAGGGCCUGACCCCACAUGCCCAUCUUCCCAUGCAUCCAACACCAACUGUGUGGUGAAGACAGACAUUCCCGACCCUAUAUCUAGUCUCCAGAGCUACAAGAAGAGAUGUGAUCCUUGUGAGUGUGUCCAGUGUUCCAGAGGCCAAGAGGAAGUUACUAUGUUACUCUGAGAGUUGGGCUAGCAAGACUCUAUGCCAGCAGUUUUCAACCUGUGUGUCAAGACUCCUUUGGGGGUCAAAUGACCCUUUCACAUGGGCCACCUAAGACAGUUGGAAAACACAGAUAUUUACAUCAUGAUUCACAACAGUAGCAAAAUUACAGUUACAAAAUGGCAAUGAAAUGAUUUUAUGGUUUGGAGUCACCACAUGAGGAAGGGUAUUAAAGGUUUGCAGCGUCAGGAAGUUUAUGCUGUGACUUCUCACUGUGUACAUGGUUUUUGACCACUCUGAAAGUUUGGGGGUCUACCCCUUGCCCCUUGUUGUUCUACAUGUGCCAUCACCUAUUAAACCAGCUACUACCCUGGGCCCAUGAAGUAUCCUGGCCUUUCUCUGAAGCCUGGGGCACCAGGCAGGUAAAAAUCAAUUCUGAUUAGCUGUCUCCUUUGCCCCUUCCACAGAGGGCCACAAGUCAUGUAUCCCCUGUGUUCCUCCCCCACCAAAGGUGUUGAUGAGGGAACUGUAUGAAGGCUGAUAACAAACCCACAGGUAAGCCUGGACUCUUGGUCACAGAGGUGACUAGCUGGAGAUAGAUGAGUGGCUGGAAGGUGAACAAACAGGAAGGAACGGUUGUCCUGCCAUACCUGUCAUCUAAGGGACAAGGAAGGAAUGGGUUAAUGGACACACACUGUGGGGAAUGGGUUUAACUCAGAGCCCAGCUGUUACGUUCACACAUGUCAUCAGGCAAAAGAAGGCCUUUGCUGGAGUCGUGCUCCUGGGAUACCGGUAUGUUCACCCUCUCCCUGCUAUAGACUUGAUCAAAACCGUGUGUCCAGAGUCACCUUUGACCUGCCUUUGUUGCUAUACAGAAGGUUGGGGCUGCUGUUUCCUCCCCAUGAUCUACUCUGGCACAAAAUAUGGUUUCUCCCAGCCUUCCUGAUGGCUGCAGGCGCUUCCUUUACCCUGUGUGCUUGGCAGGCUCUUUAUCUUGAUCCUAGGAAAGCAAAGGCAUUUGCUGAGUCCUCAUCAGCCUGCUAGAGGCACCAGCCACCAGGGUUCAGACUUACACAGAAAAGCCAGUGGGAGCAAAUCCACUUCAUCCUGCAAGAACAGCGGGGCCUGGCCUUGUUUGCCCAGGCCAGUAUGGCUGGCCCUGGUGUAGACUCUCCCUACUCAUCAUGGCCUGGCCUCCUUCCUGCUAGGACCUUCGAAGGAGGCUAUGGGAAGAGCCGCCUCCACCUCCUCAGAAGCCUCCUCAGCCUGCCUCUGUCCUUUCUAGCUUAAACCAGUUGUUCUAGACAUCUCACAUCUUACAUAAACUGAGGUGUUCCCGUCUCCAAGUCCCUGGCACCACAGGGUGACAUACCUUCCUGCUUCACUGCCUAACCUCAACCCUGGCCCUCAUCUGUCCACAGAGGUUUGAGUUCCCUGGCUUCAUUCCAGUUCCUCUCUGGAGCCGGUGGCACCUCCAGCCCUCAGCCACUUGAGCAAAUGCCAAGUCACCUACCCUGACAUCAGCAAUUACGCCAAGGGCCAUUAGGUUCUCAGCGUGACUAUUUUUAGAGAUCCUGUGUCUAUCAGUGUGACAUUUCCCCCUGUGGAAAAAACGUGCUUCCUUCCAUCUGCAAUAGCUGCUCUGACCCUCUUUUCACCUCUAGCCAAGAAACGGCCUUGGUCCCCUCGGAUGUUUUGCCCAUUGCCUGGAGACUACUUGGGCAGGAAAGACCAGGCCCCGAAGAGCCUCCUGCACCCCCACACUGCCACAGUUGCUUGACUUUAAGUGUGAGAUUUGCCUGAACUCAGUUCUUACAUUAUCCUUCUUUACCCCUCCAUCCCCAAAUCUCAGUGAAGAAGUACACCCUGACUGAAGGGCAUGCAGGACAACCACAGCAGAGCCAGGCAGAUGGCACACACAGCCCAUCCCAUGAAGAGAGACCAGGCAGAGAGCCAGUUACCAAGCACCCAGGUACACGGUCUCAGCUGCUUGUGUGAGCGCUGGAGCCUAGGCUGCCUGGUCUCUGUUGUCCUCUGGCACCUGCACCUGCAGGUGUUCACGCUACGCCACAAGUGACUAAGAUGGACCGUGUGCCUUAUGCUCAGUGUGCGCACACCUUGUGCCACGCUGCUGAGCCACCGCCACACUCUGACCUCAUGUGCUGUGCUGUCCUCCCCUCAACCCUCCUCUGGCUACACAGCUCCUAAAAGCACCAGUCUCUAACCGUGACCAUCAUCCUCCAAUUCAGUGAAGGCCUCUGAGCAUUGGGCCCGUGAGAACCAGUGAAAUAUACUAGAUUAGGGGACCAGAGAGACACCACACAGCCAGGAUUUUAUUGCUUAUAACACAGUCCCAUGGACAAAAUGCAGCCAAUGUGCACAUGAAUAAGGAAAACUGCAAGCCCUCUGUGGUGAUUUGAAACAUAAUGGCCCUCAUAGGGGGUGGUACUCUUCCACAGACAAAACCAUAAAAGAGCUGUGAGGUAAGAAAACAAUCUACCCUUUUAUCUCAUCAUUUCUAUACUAUAUCACCCUUUUUUCCUUCAGAAAGAGACCCUUGAAUCUAACUCCUUUGUUUAACUGUUUUUCCUGAUCAUAACCAAUAACAAUUUGUAACCAACCACCUAAAUGAUAACAAACAUGUACAACCCAUCGAAUGACCAAAAGCCAGCCACCCCACCUCUUGGGAAUGUGGGCAUCGCGUUCUGUAGACUGUUUCCUGUUGUCUGGGAACACUGACAUCUUUAAGAGAUGCUGGGGAAAAAAUGGGAUAGAGGUCAAGUCCUGGGAGAGGUAGCUGUAUUAUUUGUUGUCCAGUCUCUGUGCAAUGGAAAGGUGUAAAGCUCCUCUGAAGUUCUGGCUGGAAUAGUCUGUGAGGCUGGACCAUCUCAGCCAGCAGCCUUGAAGCUGUUCUGGAUAUGGAACUCUGAAGAAACUGCAACCGAGGCCCUCUGAGAGGCUGGGUCUCUUGGGCCACCCAUCUUCAUUUGUGCCGGGUCCCCUUGCUCUAUCUUGUAGUUUUUCUAGGCUUAUGCCUUUAUGUCUGUAGCCAGGAUUUUCAGGGGGUCUCCCCUGUUCCAAUCGGAUCUCAAUUAACUUGAAAGGAACCCACAGCCUUUUGUUUCCUCUGGAAACAAAAGCAUAACCUCUCCUGCAAUGCAACAUAUUGUCUGACUUCUAUUUUGAAGUUAAGACAUUUUAAAAAUAUAUAAGAUGGUUUAAUUUAGCAUUUCCAUAAUCCAAUAUCUCUCAAUAGCUAUUGUUUUUUCUACAUUAGCCUUUAAAAAAAUCAAAGUUAACAAGACACCAUUGAGUAUCCAGACUCCUUGUGUAUUUUCCAUCCUUAUGUGACUUUAUUUUUAUUACUUUAUUCUCUCUUUAAAAACUUUAUUAUUUUUAAAUUAUUUAUUUUUCUAUGACUGUCUAUACCUAUUUUCCCCUUAAGCCUAUGCACACUGUUAAACACACUGUAACUUGUUUAGAAAUUUGUUUUUUUUUUCCCAUCUGAACCUGCUUUACUGUGUAUCUGUAACCUUUUCUGUCAGCAUGAGCAAAACCUUAAACCGUCCUGCAGCUUAGCUCAUGGUGUGGCUCAAGCCCUCAGGCUGCAGCCAGGAAACAUGUCUCUGUACCUCAGCCUGCAUGAGAGACUGAGGGGCUAGGAAGCUUCAUUUUGCUCCAGUUUUGCAUACUUGUGUAUUUGGAACCUUUUUUUAUUAAGCUUUCUUGGGUCUUAUGUGGAAAUACCUGCCUAGACAUUGGCUACCAUUUGUAGGCAGAUUUUUCUGUCCCACCAACCAACUCCCAAAUCACGACAUGAGACUUAUUAUCAGUUGUAAAAGCUCAGCCAAUAGUUUAGGUGUGUUUUUAACUAGCUCUUACAACUUAAAUUAACCCAUUUCUUUAAUCUACGACAUUCUUUUAGGUGACUUGUAAUCUGUAAAGUCCAUGCUGCUUCCUCUGCACCUGGCUGGUGACUCCUUGGGCCUCUAUCCUUCUUCUGUGUUCUCUCUGCCCCCCAAAAUCCUGACUAGCUGUUUAGCUUUCUAUUAAACCAAUCAUAGUGACAUAUAUUCACACAGCGUGUGAGGGAAUAUUCUACAAUACAGUCGAAUCUCUUUGGCCCCACACCAGCCAUCAAGAGAAGAUAGGCCCCGAAUGAGGAAGUGUACAGACCCUCUGCCUCCCAGACGUCUGGCAGUGGCUGCUAAGCGGUCAUGUUAGGAAGAAAUCAUGUGAUACACUAAGCUAGAAUGCUGAUUAAUGAAGUCGACAGGCAGUGUGUGAGCAAUGUAUGUGCCUGGUGACCCACUUAAAGGCGGGCUCACUUUCAAGCUUAUAACGGAGGUUAUAUGCCUGGAGCGCAGUUGUCCAGAAAUUGUUGGAGGAAGUGUGUGGACAGGGUCUACUCCAGUUUCUGCCAAUCCAUCUUCUACAGGCCCUGGGGGGAGGCUUUCCAAGCAUCCCUUUCCUUCCCCUCUCCACUCACACUGUUCAACAAGGAGACUGGGUGUGUUUUUAAAACCCACUCACAGGGAUUUGGGGGAGCAGAGGGGGAUUCAUCUGCCCCCACAGCAACUCAGAUCAAUCGAGGAGAAAAACGAAGGGUACACCAACGGCCACAGCGUCCCAUGGAUGGCACAUCUGUUUUGACAUGGUGUGACCUUGGGAAAGCACCAUGGACAGUGCUUCAAGGUACAGAACGGGAAAUCAAACCUUGGCUGAAGACAUGGCCAUGAAGGCAUGCUUUCAUGGAUAGCUAGCACGCCUUUGCCGGCUGACAGGCCUGAGUUCUCAGCUCAUGCAGGCUGGGAGGCCUGAGCCUCAGAGGAAAUCACGUACUCCUUCAUGAGUAGACAGGAUGUCAGAGGAACUGGCCUCUGCAAUGCAAGGGAGUAGGAGAGGGAUGGCCAGGAUGGGCUGAACUGCCUAACACCUGCCUCCAAAGAUGACUUCUGUUUCUUUCCCUAGGGGAAUAUUCCCAUAAAGCCAGACAACUCUGGUCACUGCAAGCCCGCCCUGGCCCAGGACACAUGCUUCCAGCAUGACAGGUCUGAGAGACAAUGGGCAGGGAGAGCUGUCUGCUCUCCACUCCCCACCAGGCUGCUGGCGAUCCUGACCUCCAGCCAGGGGAACCUGUGGUUCCAGCUUUCACCUUCUCAACUCUCUGGAAACACAGAACGGAUUUGCCAACUCUUCAGAUUGCAACUGUUGUUGCAACCUUGAGGCAUCAGGGAGCUUUGUGUCCUAUCAUUUCCCCAUUUAAGGACCUCAUAUGGAACUCCCGGAUCAAACUCCAAGUCCAAGCCCGCUCCAUGGACCCCAAGUCCGUGAUCUCAGUUUUUGGCUCACAGCCCUGCUCACUCCCACACCUCCUGCUCUAGAGCACCCCCACAGCAAGCAGAGAACCCAGAGAAAUGUGAGGUACACCAAACCACAAAGAAGUUCUACACUCAAGCUCAGCAAACUCCUACUCCACAGCCCAUCAGGGCCCCCAGCCCCACCUCAGCCCGUAUGUAAGGUGUCAAGUGCCAGAAUGGGAAUGGUCCAUGUGCCAAAAAUCCAACACUUCCCCAGACGAGGGUAAGAGCGAGGUCACAGCCUCGAUGAAGAAAUGUGAGCAUUUCUCAGGGUUUCAUUUUUCAUUCAAGCCAAGCACAGUCAUCAUCUGGGGCUGAUGGCUCUUGGAGGGCGAUCUCGUCUUGCUUAUGUACCACUUGGGGAACAUUAAAUACCAAAUAACCACAAAGGAGGCUUCUAACUUUCCUAUGAUUAAUGGCAGGUUGAUGUACGGCCACCAUAAGAUGCAGUGAGCAGAAAUGAUCUGAAAAGAGAAGAGCUAACACUUGCUCAAUGCUUGUUGUGUGCAGAAUGCUGUUUCCAAGUCCCGCAGGAGACACUGUUAUCAUAAUUAAGAAGAUGAAAACAGAGGCUUACAGCAGUUUAGCCACGUGCCCCAGGUUACAGCGCAGGUCAGCGGUGGCAGACUUGAGCCAAGGCAUUGUCCUACAGGGGUAACUUCCUUUGCCACAUCAGGAACACCCCUUCUACAGCCACAUUUGGGGAAGGAAGCGCCAGGGAGUCAGCCCGGGCUUUACAGCAAGUCCAGAUUGAGACAGUGACCCCAUUUCCGCCCCUGUUGUGGAGAGCUUCCGGGAAGAGGUAGAUGUUAACAUGGUGAAGAGGAUAUGGCGUGGAGAAGGAAUGGGGGCUCUGAUAUACAACCUUAGAUGGCCUGGGCAAUGACUUGAGCCCCAAGAGGGACCUGAGUCCACCUGCCGAGUACAUCACAUGGAGUUUGAGGUGAAGUCCUCCCGUGUGAGGUGUGGUGCGGGCAUCCAGGCAGGAGACCAAGCCUUAGCUCAUGUGACUUUCCACCAAAGACAGGACUGUUCCUGGACAGAACUGGAGCCUCUGCAAGGGAACAGCAGUCACCACACAUAAUCAUGCGAGGUGAACAAGCUUCUACUGCCAAUCAGCUCCCACCACCGCCUGCUGGGCCCAAAGCAAUGUGCUGUGUGACCAAGAGCUGAAUCAUCUGAAACUUAGCCAAGCAGACCUCUUCUGUUUUCCUUUGGGUUGAUUGCCUCAGGUAUUUCGUCACAGCAAGAGGAAGUAACACAAGUCAAACACUACCAAUGGCAGCAGCAGCCCUGCUCACCUCAGCCGCCUCUCUCUGCACCAGCAACAGCAUCGUUUUCACCUCAGAGCUUCCAGUCAUGCCCUUCUACCUUUCUGGAAUAUUAUUUCUUACUCCUAGAUUUUUACCACAAUGGGAGAUUUCUUUAUACAUCUCCUCAUCGAUCCUUCUAGAGGAAGCCAACGUCCCUACUACAAGCGUCAUUGUAUGCCAUCCGGCCUUCGGAAAUGGUAACUUCAUAGAAGCUGGAACCGUAGUCCUGGGCUAGAACCCUGGCUUUGUCCCCUGGUUAAGUCUCUUGGUCUUUCCAUGCCUCCGUUUCAUCAUCCACAAAGGUUAACUAGCAGUACCUUCUCACGCAGUGUUGUGGGUGGAGUCACCUAAUGAAUGACACAGCCAGCCAAACACUCACUGCCACAUCACUGUGGAUCUGAGAUUGAAGGGACCAGCUCCCCUUUCGGCAGUCAUAGCAGCCGAACACGUGCUUGUAUGACCUUGUCCUGGACACUAGAAAGUCAGAUGCCUGCCUCGUGACAAGGAACGAAUCAGAAGUUAGCUGGUGGCGCUAUGCUUUAAGACCCUGGCUGUACUUUACGGACAAGCACACAGCAAUGAUGCAAAGCAUAGCAACCACCCUGGGAGGGCCUAUGGGCCAUAACAACCAUUUGGCCAAUCAACACAGGGCAAUCCCUCCAAGGCUGGAGGUACACCAAUCCUGAGCCUGUGCGUACCCCUAGACACUCCCCUUACGCUGCCCUAUAAGAUCUCGGUCCUGUGGCUUCUCAGAGUCUUUUGCGAGCCAUCUGCCAAGGCGGGUGGGUGAAAGACCGGAGCUAACAUGGGGUUAGCUCGUUAAAUUACAAUAAAGCGUCAUGCAGUUUUCAGCAAGCUCUCGAAUCCGCCUGGUGAUUGGGAUGACCGCGGUCAUGGCCUGGGACCCCUAACAAGAUGCUGCAUAAGCAAGUCUGCUGCGUGGCCCAUUGUAAGUUCAAGAGCUGGAGUGUGACAGAGCAACUCCCUACCACAGGCAAAGCCCCGGGCUCCAUCUCUAGCACCACAGAAAUGUAAACAAAUGAAGAUAAGUAAAUAAAUGAGCCGUGUACUUACUGUGUGUGGCCUCUUAGUGUGAUCAACGCACACCAUGAACCUGAGAAGAGUGGGCCUGUGACGCUAACCCUGCACACUGCACAGGAGACCCCAGUAGGCAUGCACACUAGAAUAACAGCAGCAAGUAGAGAAUAGUAAUUGCAGAAGCCAGCAAGUCUGCUACUGUGAUCCCCGCAUCCUGUACUGUGCGUGGCUCAUUUAUUUACUUAUCGUCACUUGUUUACAUUUCUGUAGUGCCACACACAGUAAGUCACUACACCUUGCAGGUGUCCACAGUAUGCUUUCAUGACCAUACCAAAAAAAAAAAAAAAAAAAAAAAAAACAACAUGUGAAGAUGCAUUUCUCGAACCUAACCUGGUGUUGAGCAAGGCAUGACCGUAUUUAGGCCUGUCUCUCCUGCCAGAACAUACUCUCUAGAUAGCUGUAGAUGCCAGUCUGUGGCUGUAACCAGACCUAAGUACCGGGCCCUGGGCACCCACCUACACCAGCGUGCUGAGGCAGUCCUGGCUAAGGGAGUCAUCAAGGAAAAGACUCCAUCCAAUGGGAGGAAGUGCACUGAGGCCUGGGGGACCCGCAGGCAGCCUGGGAGCAUUAUGGAGUGGUGCUCUCUCACACUCGUGAGAAGAUGUGUGAACUGACUGCUGUCUGGACCCCCUUUCAGGAAAUAAGCUGGGGCAGCUCCUGCAGGGUACAUGUGUGGAAACAGAAGAAGCCUGUCAAGUCAGGGUUGGUCCUCUACUAGGGUAGCUGGUGGCUCUUUACACCUAUAAGGAUGUCUCUGGACAUUUGACAGUUCUACAGGAUGUCCCCAAUUGAUAGAUGGGUGUCUCUCACCACAGGUUCAUGGAUCUGAUUAGGAGGUCUGGGAGGGCUGGGUCCUCACAGGAACUAGGGUACCUGUGAGUGGAAACCAAAGCCUCAGGGCAGUGGCAUGGUGGUGCUGAGGAGAGGAACUGGUGCCUGCAUAGUGGCAGUCUGUGUUUGGGAGUGGAGGCAGAGGGUACCUGGAAGCAGGCUAGAGGCUCAUGGGAGAUUCGGCUCUGGUGAUGCUGGGUGGGUAGAUAGAAGGCACUGGCGGGCAUAAGAGGAGAGUUCAGAAGGUGGCUCAUAUGCUAAACUCCCUGUACACAUUAG